UUGACAUUCGACAAUGCCGGUAUGUGGAACAUCAGAUCAGAGAACUGGGAGAGAAGAUACUUGGGCCAGCAAUUGUACGUCAGUGUUCUGUCACCUGAAAAGUCACUAAGAGACGAGUACAACAUCCCACUCAACACUAACCUUUGCGGCAUCGUCAAGGGCUUGCCAUUACCUACACCCUACACUAUUUAAACUCACUUCGACAAAGUUUUUUCUAUUUAUAUGUAAAAUUCUACUUUCCAAGUGAGUGUACUACGUGAUUAAUUAACCCUUUCCUAAUUUCAUUAAACGUACUAUAUCAUAUAUAUAUAUAUAUAUCAUUUAACUAUAGACCAACUUGUUGUUUCCCUAGCUAAUAGUGAAACGAAAUCAACUUAAUUACGUAAUCUAAACUUCAAUUUACAGAAAUUAAUCUCAAGAAAUUAAGAAGAAAGAUAAUAUAUUAAGGUUAUAAUUUUUACCUCAUAUUGAAUCUCCUCGAUCAUAUCGAUGAGUAAAUCUGAAAAAAAAAAAAAAAAAAUCGAAGAAACCACACUAGAGAUAGAGAAUAAGAGAUUCAAAUCAUGGAAUACUAUUAACAGAUAAAUUUCACAGCUUGAUUUUGUUGGAAAGCAGAGGAAUCGAAGUUUGAAUUGUUAAUGAAUUAUGACAAUCGGAUUCGUUUAACCUAUUAUCAAACCCGAUCGGAAAACUAAAGACCAAAACUUCAGAGAAAACAAAAAAGAAACCUAGAUCGAAAGAAAACCCUAAAUCACCUGAAAGGUUAAAUUCCACCGCAAGCAAGCGUGACACAGUAGCUCUCAUCGUCAUCUAAGAGCAAAACCGGUUGACGCUUGAGGUCAAAGUCAAACAGAAGAAACGAAGAGAAUGGGAAAAGAAAGUUCACGCGCGCGUGUGUUGUGACGAUGCGAUUCGACCAAGUUACGUUUUUUUUUUUCUUUAAUGUUUUAAUGUAGUAACAUAAUUUUUUAAUUUUGUAAAAAAAACAUUUAUAUGCACUAGAUAGCCAAGUUUUACCAUU
This 1021-nucleotide long non-coding RNA is filed under the name Arabidopsis lyrata. Its description in RNAcentral is "long non-coding RNA (ALYR_LNC002295)". The record is from RNAcentral. Lineage: Eukaryota; Viridiplantae; Streptophyta; Magnoliopsida; Brassicales; Brassicaceae.